AGGGCAAUUCCUGAUAGGUGCUGAGCACCAUCUAGCUGCAAAGUCAGCACCUUCGGAACUGUCCUCA
Molecule: microRNA precursor, 67 nt
Filed under: Gallus gallus (chicken)
Lineage: Eukaryota; Metazoa; Chordata; Aves; Galliformes; Phasianidae
Description: Gga-Mir-1736_pre stem-loop
Source: RNAcentral